AGAUGCUUCCAUGAUAGAAUAUCCUGAGUUGGAAAGAACCCACAAGGAUCACCAAGUAUGCAUUCAAUAGUUGGCUGAAGGGCCUGAAGUGCUUCCAUGUGCUUUUAGGAUUUGCAAGUUCCAGAGCAUUUCCAUGAAAGGUUAACUAUUCUCUUCCAAAAUAUUAACUAUAUUACUAUUAAUUCAAUUAAUGUAAGUACCAAUUGUUUUAAAAACUAAUUUUGAAUCCAGAACAAAAGGAAUUCCUCAGUUUUGAAACAUCCUGCACUAUACUUACUUGUGAAUGUGUUUCAAUGUUUGUAUAAUCUUUGGAUGACUUGUAUUUAUUUUAAAUGUUUCACAUAUGUUUGAGUAUCUGUUAUAUAUUGCUAAUGACUUAUUUUAAAUAAGAAAAUUUGGCAACAAUGAUCUAUCUAAUUUUCUUGUUGUGGUAUGAUUUUAGUUUUUCAAAUCUGUAUUUACCUUCUGUUAUAUUUGCAUAUACAUAUUUUGUCAGAAUUGUCAGAGCUUUCCUUCAAUUUAAUUAGCCCACAGAAAAGAGUGGAAAUCUUUUUUAAUUAAAAUAACAUUUAUUAAGAUUU
Parus major (Great Tit) is the source of this 581-nucleotide long non-coding RNA. RefSeq lists it as uncharacterized. The transcript is spliced from 2 exons. NCBI's taxonomy places the organism in Eukaryota, Metazoa, Chordata, Aves, Passeriformes, Paridae. The record is from RefSeq and is a predicted model, not a curated record.